RNAcentral lists this ribosomal RNA (495 nucleotides) under uncultured bacterium. Its description in RNAcentral is "partial 16S ribosomal RNA". It matches the Rfam family "Bacterial small subunit ribosomal RNA", at positions 28 to 507 of the family's 1533-position model. The record is from RNAcentral.
GACGAACGCUGGCGGCGUGCCUAAUACAUGCAAGUAGAACGCUGAAGGAGGAGCUUGCUUCUCUGGAUGAGUUGCGAACGGGUGAGUAACGCGUAGGUAACCUGCCUGGUAGCGGGGGAUAACUAUUGGAAACGAUAGCUAAUACCGCAUAAUAUUGACUAUUGCAUGAUAGUCAGUUGAAAGGUGCAACUGCACCACUACCAGAUGGUCCUGCGUUGUAUUAGCUAGUUGGUGGGGUAACGGCUCACCAAGGCGACGAUACAUAGCCGACCUGAGAGGGUGAUCGGCCACACUGGGACUGAGACACGGCCCAGACUCCUACGGGAGGCAGCAGUAGGGAAUCUUCGGCAAUAGACGGAAGUCUGACCGAGCAACGCCGCGUGAGUGAAGAAGGUUUUCGGAUCGUAAAGCUCUGUUGUAAGAGAAGAACGAGUGUGAGAGUGGAAAGCUCACACUGUGACGGUAUCUUACCAGAAAGGGACGGCUAACUACGUG